RNAcentral lists this ribosomal RNA (477 nucleotides) under uncultured bacterium. RNAcentral's name for it is "bacterial SSU rRNA". It matches the Rfam family "Bacterial small subunit ribosomal RNA", at positions 365 to 832 of the family's 1533-position model. The record is from RNAcentral.
UUCGCAAUGCCCGAAAGGGUGACGAAGCGACGCCGCGUGCGGGAAGAGGGCCUUCGGGUUGUAAACCGCUGUCGGGAGUUAAGAAAUGCAGAGAUGUUAAUAGCGUCUUUGCUUGACUAAGGCUCCGGAGGAAGCCACGGCUAACUCUGUGCCAGCAGCCGCGGUAAUACAGAGGCGGCAAGCGUUGUUCGGAAUUAUUGGGCGUAAAGAGCACGUAGGCGGCUAUGUAAGUCGGUUGUGAAAGCCUUCCGCUCAACGGGAGAACAGCAUCCGAUACUGCAUGGCUUGAGUGUGGGAGGGGAGAGUGGAACUUCUGGUGGAGCGGUGAAAUGCGUAGAUAUCAGAAGGAACGCCGGCGGCGAAAGCGGCUCUCUGGCCCAUAACUGACGCUGAGUGUGCGAAAGCUAGGGGAGCAAACGGGAUUAGAUACCCCGGUAGUCCUAGCCGUAAACGAUGGGCACUAAGUAGAGGGGUUUU